GCCUAACACAUGCAAGUCGAACGGUAACAGGAAGCAGCUUGCUGCUUCGCUGACGAGUGGCGGACGGGUGAGUAAUGUCUGGGAAACUGCCUGAUGGAGGGGGAUAACUACUGGAAACGGUAGCUAAUACCGCAUAACGUCGCAAGACCAAAGAGGGGGACCUUCGGGCCUCUUGCCAUCGGAUGUGCCCAGAUGGGAUUAGCUAGUACGUGGGGUAACGGCUCACCUACGCGACGAUCCCUAGCUGGUCUGAGAGGAUGACCAGCCACACUGGAACUGAGACACGGUCCAGACUCCUACGGGAGGCAGCAGUGGGGAAUAUUGCACAAUGGGCGCAAGCCUGAUGCAGCCAUGCCGCGUGUAUGAAGAAGGCCUUCGGGUUGUAAAGUACUUUCAGCGGGGAGGAAGGCGACAGGGUUAAUAACCCUGUCGAUUGACGUUACCCGCAGAAGAAGCACCGGCUAACUCCGUGCCAGCAGCCGCGGUAAUACGGAGGGUGCAAGCGUUAAUCGGAAUUACUGGGCGUAAAGCGCACGCAGGCGGUCUGUCAAGUCGGAUGUGAAAUCCCCGGGCUCAACCUGGGAACUGCAUUCGAAACUGGCAGGCUAGAGUCUUGUAGAGCGGGGGUAGAAUUCCAGGUGUAGCGGUGAAAUGCGUAGAGAUCUGGAGGAAUACCGGUGGCGAAGGCGGCCCCCUGGACAAAGACUGACGCUCAGGUGCGAAAGCG
RNAcentral lists this ribosomal RNA (727 nucleotides) under uncultured Enterobacterales bacterium. RNAcentral's name for it is "bacterial SSU rRNA". It matches the Rfam family "Bacterial small subunit ribosomal RNA", at positions 46 to 761 of the family's 1533-position model. Lineage: Bacteria; Pseudomonadati; Pseudomonadota; Gammaproteobacteria; Enterobacterales. The record is from RNAcentral.